CUGCCAUGAUUACUUUAUCCGUCAAGAGAGCCCGGGGUCAGGGUUGCAGUGUAGCAGGUGGUGACUGCCGUUACAAAGAGAGCCCCAUGUAAUGUUGGGGGAGGCUAACUUUGUCGGGGAGAUCCAGGUUUGCUGCAAAGGCAUCAGAGGCACACUCCGUAAGCCCCCUACUGACUGACAGCUCCAGAGCCUAUUAUGCCAACUUUUUACAGACACCCAGCCAAGUGAGGGUGUGCAAAGAUGUUAUCAUCCUGCUGCCUGCUGAGAGAGAGAGAGAGACAGCCGACUCAAACCAAGUUGGCACGUGGGACCGUCCGCUGACCCUUCCCCUUACAGGGCAAACUGCCAACUGUGCAUAAGGGGAAUUGGCUAAGGCCAUGAUGGCGGUCCUCAUUCAUUCAUUAAUUGUUCGUACCUGUUUUCAUUGCAUUUACUCACUCAUAUUUUGUGUAGUAGUUAUUAGUUAUCACAUUUAGUAGUCGUGUGUGUACUAUGUAAUUUCUAUUUUAAUAAACCAAUCAUUUAUAAAGAA
Micropterus salmoides (largemouth bass) is the source of this 532-nucleotide long non-coding RNA. RefSeq lists it as uncharacterized. NCBI's taxonomy places the organism in Eukaryota, Metazoa, Chordata, Actinopteri, Centrarchiformes, Centrarchidae. The transcript has 3 exons. The record is from RefSeq and is a predicted model, not a curated record.